AUGAUGAGGUUAUUUCUAACGCUGUAUGGAAGAAGAGAUGAGGCGAUCGGAGUAGCCAUGGCUGCGGAAGAAGAGUUGGUGUUGUUUAGGGUGGAAUUGGCAAGGAGGAAGGUGACGAUCGGAGAGGAGGUUUAUGCGUUGCUGUUGUUUCGCAGGAGAAGAGAAAAUCAUAAAUGCUGCUGA
Non-coding RNA from Vicia faba (fava bean), 183 nucleotides. The record is from the annotation of a GenBank genome assembly. Lineage: Eukaryota; Viridiplantae; Streptophyta; Magnoliopsida; Fabales; Fabaceae.